Molecule: ribosomal RNA, 253 nt
Filed under: uncultured bacterium
Lineage: Bacteria
Description: partial 16S ribosomal RNA
Rfam family: Bacterial small subunit ribosomal RNA
Source: RNAcentral
UACGGGGGGGGCAAGCGUUGUUCGGAAUUACUGGGCGUAAAGGGCUCGUAGGUGGCCAACUAAGUCAUGCGUGAAAUCCCUCGGCUUAACCGGGGAACUGCGUCUGAUACUGGAUGGCUUGAGUUUGGGAGAGGGAUGCGGAAUUCCAGGUGUAGCGGUGAAAUGCGUAGAUAUCUGGAGGGACACCGGUGGCGAAGGCGGCAUCCUGGACCAAUACUGACACUGAGGAGCGAAAGCCAGGGGAGCAAACGGG